CUUUACUUAUCACAGCCGAUUAUGUCUUCUGAGAAAUAUGAGAUUACAGAGAAAUUAGAGGUUUGACAGGAUUUUGUUAAUUAACAAUUCGAUCUUUUUAUGUGUGGAUUCCUGACUUACUAAAGUAUUUGCGUCCCAUCUUGAAAGCUGUCUGCUCUUGCAAAGAAAGACUCAGUCUCAGUCAGUGUUGCAGCAGGGACCUAUGACUUUUAGAACAGGAAACCCAGGAAAAUCUGUUUCCUCCAGAUCAUGUUGACGUCAUGGUGUACAAGUUUCUCAAGAUUGUGGCCGCUGAGGCAAGCAUGCAUCACAAAGAACACUGCUGAGAUAUCGGAGAAGGACAGCUACAAGGUCAGGGGAUUUGAUCAGAACAUCCAUCAAUCUUCUGUAUUGUGCUUUGAUAUGACUACAGUAAAUCUCUGCUUCAUAAGGCUAAGCCUUAAGCUAUCCAGAAGCUUUGUCUCAGUUGUCACACAUCCUCAGAUGACCAUCCUACCAAAUGACCUCUUUUGUGGAUGGAAGUAAGUGGACUAGAGAGCCUCUGAUAAAAGCAACAGCUGAGAAAGUGCAAUUCUAUACUAAGAAAUCAACUCUACCUCUGCGGUGGUGGUAAUCUCUGUAAAGUUUGCUCAAUGCCAACAGUGACUUAACACAGAUCUUAUGAAAAAUAAAGUGACCCAAAUUCAUAACUGUUGUGAAUGCUUCACUGCUUAAAGCAUUUUUUCAUUAAGGUUGAUUUUAACUCAAGAUCUCCAUCUUAUUCUCUGAAUCCCUGAUAAUGACGUGUUUGACUGUCUCUCUAUAAAAGUCAGAAAACAUUCAGGCUUAGAUUUCAUCCACAAUUCAACAUAAUGGUCUUAAAUAUAAGAAGUGGGAUUAAGUAAGUUAGUUUUGAGAUCUGUUGUAGGUUUAGCCUUUCUUUAGCCCUUUUUCUUUCUUCUCUUUACCUGAUUUGUUCUCUUCCUGUUUAUUGUACUCUUGAAAGAAAGAAUAGCUCUCUGUGUUUAUUGUCCCUAUCAGUUUAAUGUCAGGUCAAAUCUGUAAUUUAAAAUGUUCC
Molecule: long non-coding RNA, 1057 nt
Filed under: Gallus gallus (chicken)
Lineage: Eukaryota; Metazoa; Chordata; Aves; Galliformes; Phasianidae
Description: lncRNA (ENSGALG00010004847.1)
Source: RNAcentral